AACGAACGCUGGCGGCAGGCUUAACACAUGCAAGUCGAACGGUUGCAGCAAUGCAGCAGUGGCAGACGGGUGAGUAACACGUGGGAACCUUCCUAGGGGUACGGAACAACUCAGGGAUACUUGAGCUAAUACCGUAUACGUCCGUGAGGAGAAAGAUUUAUCGCCCUUAGACGGGCCCGCGUCGGAUUAGCUAGUUGGUGGGGUAACGGCCUACCAAGGCGACGAUCCGUAGCUGAUCUUAGAGGAUGAUCAGCCACACUGGGACUGAGACACGGCCCAGACUCCUACGGGAGGCAGCAGUGGGGAAGCUUGGACAAUGGGCGCAAGCCUGAUCCAGCCAUGCCGCGUGAGUGAAGAAGGUCUUCGGAUUGUAAAGCUCUUUUGCCAGGGACGAUAAUGACGGUACCUGGAGAAUAAGCCCCGGCAAACUUCGUGCCAGCCGCCGCGGUAA
Molecule: ribosomal RNA, 451 nt
Filed under: uncultured bacterium
Lineage: Bacteria
Description: partial 16S ribosomal RNA
Rfam family: Bacterial small subunit ribosomal RNA
Source: RNAcentral